AACCAUUCUCACCUGCGGCUAGACCUGCGGAAGGAUCAUUACCAAGGUUUAUUGCUGGGAGAUUCUCCCGGUAGUUCCUUUCUUACAAUCCCCUUGUGUGCAAUAAUGUAUAAGAUGGUCUUUUUUUUAAAGGACCAUUUUUUCCUAUUACAACCCUUGACUGAACAAAUCAAAAAUAUAACCUGAAUACAACUUUCAACAACGGAUCU
This 209-nucleotide unclassified non-coding RNA is filed under the name soil metagenome. RNAcentral describes it as "partial contains 5.8S ribosomal RNA, internal transcribed spacer 2, and large subunit ribosomal RNA". The record is from RNAcentral.